AUAGGUGUUUUCCAGAGCGAUCAUUAACGCAGAACACACACCAUUGGGCUCUUGAAGGGACAUAUUCAUUUACAUUUACAUUUAAGUCAUUUAGCAGACGCUCUUAUCCAGAGCGACUUACAAAUUGGUGAAUUCACCUUCUGACAUCCAGUGGAACAGCCACAUAUUCAUUAUCUCAGACAAGAUGGCUUUGGUUAUUCAGGGAUUGGCUAUCUGGGGCUUAAAAAUCGGUCUGCUGGCAGUAUCAACUAAAACUCUCAUCGUUAUUGGAAUUUUCACUGUUGUAGGAACUGCAACAUACUACCUUGCCAAAUCGCUUUAUGAGAAACAGAAGGCGGCUUAAACCUCAACAUGACUGACGACUGGAGAGGAGCCAGAGGUUGAUUACUGCUUUACUGCUCUGUUCAUUACAUGGGUUUUUACAAUGAGUUGUAAAGAGAAAUUGUCUAUAUGCUCUUGAGCAAGGCACUUAUCCAGAGUGACUUACAAGAGCAUUUAGGGUCAAAAUCUUCUGCUAAAUGUCUAAAAUAUAAAUAGGACUUCAAUUUCUGUGCACAUGUCUGCCCACAAUGGAUAGAGUGGACCAAUGAAUCCAGCUGUUUAUUAGAUGAACAAAAAAAUCUGUAUUACCUGUUCAUAUUGUCAUUUUCAAUUGUUUCCCAUGUAUAUCAAGACAUUUAAACAACCUAAAAGUUAAUAAUUGUAAUGUGUGGCAAAUAAAUGUAUUCAUCCCUCA
Molecule: long non-coding RNA, 736 nt
Organism: Oncorhynchus masou masou (cherry salmon)
Lineage: Eukaryota; Metazoa; Chordata; Actinopteri; Salmoniformes; Salmonidae
Exons: 3
Source: RefSeq, a predicted model, not a curated record